AAUCAACGCUGGCGGCGUGCCUCAGACAUGCAAGUCGAACGAUUAAAGCUCUCUUCGGAGAGUGUAUAGAGUGGCGCACGGGUGAGUAACACGUAAGUAAUCUACCUUUGAGUGGGGAAUAACAAUCGGAAACGGUUGCUAAUACCGCAUAAUGCAGCGGCAUCGCAAGAUGACAGUUGUUAAAGGAGCAAUCCGCUUAAAGAGGAGCUUGCGGCAGAUUAGCUAGUUGGUAAGGUAACGGCUUACCAAGGCUACGAUCUGUAUCCGGUCUAAGAGGACGGUCGGACACACUGACACUGAAUAACGGGUCAGACUCCUACGGGAGGCAGCAGUCGGGAAUUUUGGGCGAAUGGGCGAAAGACCUGACCCAGCAACGCCGCGUGAAGGAUGAAGUAUUUCGGUAUGUAAACUU
Molecule: ribosomal RNA, 412 nt
Filed under: uncultured bacterium
Lineage: Bacteria
Description: bacterial SSU rRNA
Rfam family: Bacterial small subunit ribosomal RNA
Source: RNAcentral